This 75-nucleotide antisense RNA is filed under the name Streptomyces bingchenggensis BCW-1. RNAcentral describes it as "ASpks TB sRNA". It matches the Rfam family "ASpks TB sRNA". The record is from Rfam by way of RNAcentral. Lineage: Bacteria; Bacillati; Actinomycetota; Actinomycetes; Kitasatosporales; Streptomycetaceae.
CUUGAUCGCGCCCAGCCACAGCGGCCGGCCCUCGGGCCGCUCCUGACCGUAGGUGGCCAGCAGCGCCUGGGCUUC